RNAcentral lists this ribosomal RNA (260 nucleotides) under Salmonella enterica subsp. enterica serovar Montevideo. RNAcentral's name for it is "partial 23S ribosomal RNA". It matches the Rfam family "Bacterial large subunit ribosomal RNA", at positions 114 to 414 of the family's 2925-position model. Lineage: Bacteria; Pseudomonadati; Pseudomonadota; Gammaproteobacteria; Enterobacterales; Enterobacteriaceae. The record is from RNAcentral.
CCGAAUGGGGAAACCCAGUGUGACUCGUCACACUAUCAUUAACUGAAUCCAUAGGUUAAUGAGGCGAACCGGGGGAACUGAAACAUCUAAGUACCCCGAGGAAAAGAAAUCAACCGAGAUUCCCCCAGUAGCGGCGAGCGAACGGGGAGGAGCCCAGAGCCUGAAUCAGCAUGUGUGUUAGUGGAAGCGUCUGGAAAGGCGCGCGAUACAGGGUGACAGCCCCGUACACAAAAGCGCAUGUGCUGUGAGCUCGAUGAGUA